AGUAACGCGUGGGUAACCGUGCCUCAUACAGGGGAGUAACAGUUAGAAAUGACUGCUAAUACCGCAUAAGCGCACAGUGCUGCAUGGCACAGUGUGAAAAACUCCGGUGGUAUGAGAUGGACCCGCGUCUGAUUAGCUAGUUGGUGGGGUAACGGCCUACCAAGGCGACGAUCAGUAGCCGGCCUGAGAGGGUGAACGGCCACAUUGGGACUGAGACACGGCCCAA
Molecule: ribosomal RNA, 226 nt
Filed under: uncultured bacterium
Lineage: Bacteria
Description: partial 16S ribosomal RNA
Rfam family: Bacterial small subunit ribosomal RNA
Source: RNAcentral